Scomber japonicus (chub mackerel) is the source of this 87-nucleotide small nucleolar RNA. The record is from RefSeq and is a predicted model, not a curated record. NCBI's taxonomy places the organism in Eukaryota, Metazoa, Chordata, Actinopteri, Scombriformes, Scombridae.
UAUGCAGUGAUCAGUACAUAUCAAAUGUUUUGAGUGAGUUUUCAGUGACCAUGAGAAUACCUUACAUGCACUACCAUCUGAGAUGUG